Molecule: long non-coding RNA, 579 nt
Organism: Oncorhynchus tshawytscha (Chinook salmon)
Lineage: Eukaryota; Metazoa; Chordata; Actinopteri; Salmoniformes; Salmonidae
Source: Ensembl
GUGGGGGAGUAGGACAAGGCUAGAGGAAUGAGGUGGGGGAGUAGCACAAGGCUAAAGGAAUGAGGUGGGGGAGUAGGACAAGGCUAGAGGAAUGAGGUGGGGGAGUAGAACAACGCUAGAGGAAUGAGGUGGGGGAGUAGGACAAGGCUAGAGGAAUGAGGUGGGGGAGUAGAACAACGCUAGAGGAAUGAGGUGGGAGAGUAGGACAAUGCUAGAGGAAUGAGGUGGGGGAGUAGGACAAGGCUAAAGGGAUGAGGUGGUGGAGUAGGAAAAGGCUAAAGGGAUGAGGUGGGGUUAGUAGGACAAGGCUAAAGGAAUGAGGUGGGGGAGUAGGGCAAGGCUAAAGGGAUGAGGUGGGACAGUAGGGCAAGGCUAAAGGGAUGAGGUGGGGGAGUAGGGCAAGACUAAAGGGAUGAGGUGGAGGAGUCAGUGCGACAGGUUUAAUCCCCUCCUCUAUCUCCAUCCACAACACCCUAGCAAGCUGCAAGCCUACUAGAUGGUAAUAGGCACUCAAGUUGCCCCUAGGGGACGGUCUUGAAGGCAUCUCCCGACAUCCUACGGACCUGGGCAAACGUUGAA